RNAcentral lists this ribosomal RNA (483 nucleotides) under uncultured bacterium. Its description in RNAcentral is "SSU rRNA". It matches the Rfam family "Bacterial small subunit ribosomal RNA", at positions 26 to 523 of the family's 1533-position model. The record is from RNAcentral.
AGGACGAACGCUGGCGGCGUGCUUAACACAUGCAAGUCGAGCGAGGCCCUGUCUUCGGACAGGUGCCCUAGCGGCGAACGGGUGAGUAACACGUGGGCAACCUGCCCCUAGCACUGGGAUAACUCCGGGAAACCGGGGCUAAUACCAGAUAUGACCUCCGAGGGCAUCCUCGUUGGUGUAAAGGAUUCUGGCUAGGGAUGGGCCCGCGGCCUAUCAGCUUGUUGGUGGGGUAACGGCCUACCAAGGCGACGACGGGUAGCCGGCCUGAGAGGGCGACCGGCCACACUGGGACUGAGACACGGCCCAGACUCCUACGGGAGGCAGCAGUGGGGAAUAUUGCACAAUGGGCGAAAGCCUGAUGCAGCGACGCCGCGUGAGGGAUGACGGCCUUCGGGUUGUAAACCUCUUUCAGCUCCGACGAAGCGAAAGUGACGGUAGGAGCAGAAGAAGCACCGGCCAACUACGUGCCAGCAGCCGCGGUAA